This 1550-nucleotide ribosomal RNA is filed under the name Klebsiella pneumoniae. RNAcentral describes it as "bacterial SSU rRNA". It matches the Rfam family "Bacterial small subunit ribosomal RNA". The record is from RNAcentral. RNAcentral also lists the same sequence under 1 other name. Lineage: Bacteria; Pseudomonadati; Pseudomonadota; Gammaproteobacteria; Enterobacterales; Enterobacteriaceae.
AAAUUGAAGAGUUUGAUCAUGGCUCAGAUUGAACGCUGGCGGCAGGCCUAACACAUGCAAGUCGAGCGGUAGCACAGAGAGCUUGCUCUCGGGUGACGAGCGGCGGACGGGUGAGUAAUGUCUGGGAAACUGCCUGAUGGAGGGGGAUAACUACUGGAAACGGUAGCUAAUACCGCAUAAUGUCGCAAGACCAAAGUGGGGGACCUUCGGGCCUCAUGCCAUCAGAUGUGCCCAGAUGGGAUUAGCUAGUAGGUGGGGUAACGGCUCACCUAGGCGACGAUCCCUAGCUGGUCUGAGAGGAUGACCAGCCACACUGGAACUGAGACACGGUCCAGACUCCUACGGGAGGCAGCAGUGGGGAAUAUUGCACAAUGGGCGCAAGCCUGAUGCAGCCAUGCCGCGUGUGUGAAGAAGGCCUUCGGGUUGUAAAGCACUUUCAGCGGGGAGGAAGGCGGUGAGGUUAAUAACCUCAUCGAUUGACGUUACCCGCAGAAGAAGCACCGGCUAACUCCGUGCCAGCAGCCGCGGUAAUACGGAGGGUGCAAGCGUUAAUCGGAAUUACUGGGCGUAAAGCGCACGCAGGCGGUCUGUCAAGUCGGAUGUGAAAUCCCCGGGCUCAACCUGGGAACUGCAUUCGAAACUGGCAGGCUAGAGUCUUGUAGAGGGGGGUAGAAUUCCAGGUGUAGCGGUGAAAUGCGUAGAGAUCUGGAGGAAUACCGGUGGCGAAGGCGGCCCCCUGGACAAAGACUGACGCUCAGGUGCGAAAGCGUGGGGAGCAAACAGGAUUAGAUACCCUGGUAGUCCACGCCGUAAACGAUGUCGAUUUGGAGGUUGUGCCCUUGAGGCGUGGCUUCCGGAGCUAACGCGUUAAAUCGACCGCCUGGGGAGUACGGCCGCAAGGUUAAAACUCAAAUGAAUUGACGGGGGCCCGCACAAGCGGUGGAGCAUGUGGUUUAAUUCGAUGCAACGCGAAGAACCUUACCUGGUCUUGACAUCCACAGAACUUUCCAGAGAUGGAUUGGUGCCUUCGGGAACUGUGAGACAGGUGCUGCAUGGCUGUCGUCAGCUCGUGUUGUGAAAUGUUGGGUUAAGUCCCGCAACGAGCGCAACCCUUAUCCUUUGUUGCCAGCGGUCCGGCCGGGAACUCAAAGGAGACUGCCAGUGAUAAACUGGAGGAAGGUGGGGAUGACGUCAAGUCAUCAUGGCCCUUACGACCAGGGCUACACACGUGCUACAAUGGCAUAUACAAAGAGAAGCGACCUCGCGAGAGCAAGCGGACCUCAUAAAGUAUGUCGUAGUCCGGAUUGGAGUCUGCAACUCGACUCCAUGAAGUCGGAAUCGCUAGUAAUCGUAGAUCAGAAUGCUACGGUGAAUACGUUCCCGGGCCUUGUACACACCGCCCGUCACACCAUGGGAGUGGGUUGCAAAAGAAGUAGGUAGCUUAACCUUCGGGAGGGCGCUUACCACUUUGUGAUUCAUGACUGGGGUGAAGUCGUAACAAGGUAACCGUAGGGGAACCUGCGGUUGGAUCACCUCCUUACCUUAAAGAA